GAUGAAGAACGUAGCGAAAUGCGAUAAGUAAUGUGAAUUGCAGAAUUCAGUGAAUCAUCGAAUCUUUGAACGCACCUUGCACCCUUUGGACUGCUCCAAAGGGUAUGCUCGUUUGAGUGUCAUUGUACUCUCACACUCUCUGAUCCUUUGGAUUUGGGGAGCAGUGGACUUGGGUGCUUGCUGCUUCCUUGUGGCUCACCUGAAAUGCAUCAGUGCAUCUCUCGAUUGGACAUAGUACGGCGUGAUAAGUGUCUUCGCCGGCACCUCAUAUGAGGGUGGCCGAUCGGGAGCUCUGUGCUUCAAACUGUCUUCGGACAACAUCUGACAACUUGACCUCAAAUCGAGUAGGACUACCCGCUGAACUUAAGCAUAUCAAUAAGCGGAGGA
Molecule: unclassified non-coding RNA, 387 nt
Filed under: soil metagenome
Description: partial contains 5.8S ribosomal RNA, internal transcribed spacer 2, and large subunit ribosomal RNA
Rfam family: 5.8S ribosomal RNA (bases 1-122)
Source: RNAcentral